AUCCAAUUGACGUGUCCUAAAUAGGACGAAAUACAAGUCCUGGAU
Molecule: non-coding RNA, 45 nt
Filed under: Schistosoma margrebowiei
Lineage: Eukaryota; Metazoa; Platyhelminthes; Trematoda; Strigeidida; Schistosomatidae
Source: RNAcentral